AACGGACACUCUGGAAAGCGUUCCGGCCGCCCAAUCGGGUGACGAUCGGAACCACCGAAGGGGUAACUCCAUCGUCCGAUGGAGGAAAACUCUCAGGUUCCCGUGACAGAGGGGGCAUG
RNAcentral lists this non-coding RNA (119 nucleotides) under Sphingopyxis sp. RNAcentral's name for it is "Glycine sequence". It matches the Rfam family "Glycine riboswitch aptamer". Rfam says of the family: This family represents the bacterial glycine riboswitch. Glycine riboswitches usually consist of two metabolite-binding aptamers domains with similar structures in tandem. The aptamers cooperatively bind glycine to regulate the expression of downstream genes. Lineage: Bacteria; Pseudomonadati; Pseudomonadota; Alphaproteobacteria; Sphingomonadales; Sphingopyxidaceae. The record is from RNAcentral.